GGGGCUGUAGCUCAGAUGGGAGAGCGCCGCAAUCGCACUGCGGAGGUCAGGGGUUCGAUUCCCCUCAGCUCCACCA
RNAcentral lists this transfer RNA (76 nucleotides) under Methylorubrum extorquens. Its description in RNAcentral is "tRNA-Ala(cgc)". It matches the Rfam family "tRNA". From Rfam's summary of the family: Transfer RNA (tRNA) molecules are approximately 80 nucleotides in length. Their secondary structure includes four short double-helical elements and three loops (D, anti-codon, and T loops). Lineage: Bacteria; Pseudomonadati; Pseudomonadota; Alphaproteobacteria; Hyphomicrobiales; Methylobacteriaceae. RNAcentral also lists the same sequence under 97 other names. The record is from RNAcentral.